CCGUUCAGGCCCGUUCAGGCCAAGGGCAAGGACUUUGUCUGCUCGUAGGGGCAGCGCCCUUGGGUGCCGAGUUAAUGUGUAACCAAACUUGCAAAAAGGUUUAUCUGUUUGUCUCCGGCAAGGACGUCUGGGCAAAUGGCUUUCUGCACCACUACCCUCGGCCUUCGUGCUCGUUCCCUGUGGGCAAAGGAAGGAGCUAGAACCGUCCCGGUCACUGGUCCCCUUCAGUUCUCCGUGGGCGCGUGGGCCGCCCGCUCCUGAGCGAGAUGACCGCGGCCCUUAGGCCCUGGGUGGGGUGGAGCGUCCUCGGGCCCGGCUGGAUUCAGAUGCGGACUCUUCCCCUUGACAGCGUGAUGCUCGGGAGGGCUUGUGCCUUGGUUUCCCCUCCAGCACCACAGAGUGAGCUGCCCCUCCUGCUGGCUUGGGGGAUCUGAGGGCCCGGGGCUGUGCUUGCUGGGACUCUGGGUGUGACCAGCCCCGCCCCCACCCUGGCUAGGGACGGGGCAACGGAGGGUUUCGGUCCGUGACAGGCACGUCCGUCCGUGGGGCAAGCAGGGGCUGUGUCAGCCCUGCGUCAGCCAGAACAGGAAGCUGCGGCCGGGAGCCCCACCCUGCGGGGCCCCUGCGGCCACCACACCUGUCCCCGGAGCCACACAAGCACCGCAGGGGAGGCAGCCCCCGCCCUCAGGCUUCCUGGGCUCCCAGCACCCACCGUCGUACCCCCUGGCCUGCGGGGGCUCCCCCAGCUCCAGCUGCCUCGCCUCUGGGUGCUCUGCUGGCUUCCGGGGCCCCAUUUCCGCCCCCCGCCCCGGGCAGUCUCAUGUUUUACUUUGCAGAGCCGUGGGGAGCAGAGCAUUUGGGGGUGGACGCAACCUGGGCCCCCUUCCUCCGAGUGGAAACCAGUGGAGGGCACAGUGACCUCACGGCAACCCGGGGAAUCUGGACCCGUCAUCCGCCCCCGCCAGGUGCGCCGCGGGGAAAGCGCGUCUCUCUCUGCUCUGAGCCUCGGGUUCUGGCAUUUUGGUGAAAUGCCAACGACGAUGAUUCCGGCGUGGGCACCUUGGUCAGGGUGCUCUCAGGCGCCUGCAGAUCCCGGACAUGAGAGCGCAGGCCUUCCUCUCCGGCCGGCCGUGGAAGACGCCCCAUAUUCUGCAUGA
RNAcentral lists this long non-coding RNA (1157 nucleotides) under Vulpes vulpes (red fox). RNAcentral describes it as "lncRNA (ENSVVUG00000025241.1)". Lineage: Eukaryota; Metazoa; Chordata; Mammalia; Carnivora; Canidae. The record is from RNAcentral.